UCCCAAGUGGCUCAAGUGGUAAAGAAUCUGCCUGCCAAUGCAGGAGACACAGGUUUGAUUCCUGUGUAGGGAA
RNAcentral lists this transfer RNA (73 nucleotides) under Ovis aries (sheep). It matches the Rfam family "tRNA". Rfam says of the family: Transfer RNA (tRNA) molecules are approximately 80 nucleotides in length. Their secondary structure includes four short double-helical elements and three loops (D, anti-codon, and T loops). The record is from Rfam by way of RNAcentral. Lineage: Eukaryota; Metazoa; Chordata; Mammalia; Artiodactyla; Bovidae.